UUUUUAUGUGUAGAUCAUUUUCUUUAUUGGAAUUACAGAACACAACCAAGAAUUUGACGACAGCAGUCAUAUAGCAAGAGUACAUCCUUUGCCAUCUAAAAUUACCCUGGUGCAGAAUAACAGGCUUUAGCUUUGCGGAUUUGGACAGACACAUAUUAAGAGAAGUCGCGCCUAUGCUAUUAGCAACAAUUGGCCAAGCUUUGUAUGCACACAAAAUGCUCAGGUUACUGCAGCCCUGUGGAUGUUAUAUCCACCACAGAGUGUUCCCACAUGACAGGGGCUUGAGUUCCCAACUUGCUUGCCAAGUUCCUUAUAGUUUCCAGCUUUCCAUUUAAGACAGAUAUGUAAAAUAUAUGCUAAUUGUCACCCUAAUGGAAACAAUAUGCGAUUCACAACUAGGAUAUCCCAAAAGCCCACAUCCCCCCCACUGAGCAAAGGCAUCCUGAAUGAACAUCUCUAAUCUCUUUUUCCAUGCCUACAAUUCAGCUAACCUGGAUGCUUCCGAACAAAGAACGAUAGUUGGGACUACAGCUGACUGCCAGCUGUCUCACACUUUGUCACCAGGGUUCUAAAAAAGACAAUAGUGUUUGCUGGAGAAUACUUAUGAAAAAGCAGGGUUUUUGGUCAAAGAAGGGAUUUAAUCAAAUCUCCCACUGAGAAUCACUUAGAAAAUUCAAUCCACAUUUAGUAAGUGUCUACAAUAUGCCAGCACUGUGUGAGAUGCUAGAAACACGAUGUCCUUAGGAGGGCUAGGACAUAUACACAGAAAAGUAAAUACUUGGUCAUUUCAGAAGAGAGAGCUCGAACAUCUAGUCCAGGGUCACAAAUGGUGUCAUAUAGAACAUCUCAUAUAGGACUUAGCUUGAGGCUGAGUCUGGGAAGAAGCUAAGGAGUAUAAGAGGUGGCGGGGAGGAGAGAGUGGACUGGAGGCAUGGGGGAUGGUCUUCAAAAAGUCACAGAGGCAGGAGGGAGAUGCCAAUUUUGGAAAAGGGCAAGUAGGGCAGUUGAGCUGGAGAUAAGAUUGGGAAGAGAUUUUAAUACCAAGCUUCGGGAUUUCUAUUUUUGAGCAACAGAAUGUCAUGGUCUCUCCUAUUCUUUACAAAGAAUACUUAACCAAUGUUGUAAAGUACUGGAGAAAGGAGAGAGCAGAAACUAGAAACCAAAUGAGGAAACAAGAGUCCAGGCCACAGGUAAUGAGAGCCUGGACCGGGGCAGUGGCUAUGGGAGCAGAGAGAAGGGGACACACAGAGGUAGAAUCCACAAGAUUUGGCAACUGAUUCAAAAUGGGGUUGGGGAUGGGAGAAGGGAGAAGUUGUACAUGACCCUAAGCUUAUGAACCUGGGGACUGGGAAUAGAGUGACACCCUUUGCUGAAAGAGACUGUUUAGAAGAAGUCUGGAGUUGUUGAGCUUGCGAUGCUGAUGAGUCAGAAGUUCUGAAGUCUUCCACUGAAGACAAGUUCAUUCUAGGAUUUGGCCGGAGUCACAGACGCACCAGAUUUCAGAGUUGGCAUGGGCCUUGGUGGCCAGCUCAGCCAACCCUUACUUAUACAGGAGACCCCUCUCUACUUCAUCCCCAACAAGUGUUCCUCCAGCCUUCAAAACCUACAGGGAAGAAGAACUUACUGUUCCUCGAACCAGCCCAUUUAGGCAAUGGAUUGCCUCAAGUCAAGCUCCAACCUGUAAGCAUUUACCAAGUUCCUCCUGUGUGCCCAUUAUUGUGCUGAGGGCUCAGGAGGUUACAGAAGCAGCAGAAGCAAUGGCAGUUGCUUUUGAGAAGCUAGCAGUCUACAAAGGCAAACAAGACACCCACAAAUACAAAACAUGAAACACUUAGGAUACAUUCUAGAAGCACGCGAUCAUGUGAGAUAUCCUGUCCAUGCUGGAGAUAACCCAAAGGCAGAAAAGUUCACUGAGAGGCAGAUUCAGGGGAAAAAAGCUUCGCGGAAGCAACGUCUUGAGUUAGGCCUUGAGGGCAACACAGACCUUAGCUUGACAAAGAGACAAAUAAAGGGCAGAAAAUUCCUUGUUCUUAAAAAAGUGUUUCUGCUCAACUGAUAGCUCAAGUUAAAGAUGAUUCUUCAGCUUUUUUCACUUUGAAGUGAAUUUCUUUUCAGUCUUUUUAGCCUUCAUCAGUGCCAGGAAGAGAGUGAAAAUGACAAAAUCUUGAAGAAGAGAAUUGAGAGAUCCCCAAAAUCCAGACUCUUAAAUCCUCCACACUUGAAUCUGAACAGUCCAGACAAUUACUGCAAUUUAGGCAUUUUGUUUCUGUAUUUUUUUUUCUUCCAUCAAAAGACUAGAAUGUGACCGCAAACCUCUGAGUUGCUUUUAGUCCUUAAAACAGGUAGGAUCAAGCAUCUCCAUUCCAUUUCCAAGAGGUGCUGAUUCAAGGGACUGGUAGGAGUCCAAAUUGGCGCAACAUGCCGAGAGCAUGUUGUCAGCUGGCAUUUCGAUGACAUUUGAGGGUUCCCAAAGUACUUGACCUCCGUCCUCAUUGGACCCUCACAACAACCCUGUGAGGUAGGUAGUGCAAGUAUGGAGGGUUGAUCAAAGGCAUUCCCUGGUCAAGGUCAUGGGAAAAGGGAUCUUCCUAGGAAAGGGAGUCAUGGGUCCAGCAUUCAGCCAUGAUCCAUGCUCCUUAAACAGGAGAUGUCCUCAAUUUUCUCAAAGUGAAGCCAGUAGACAACCUGAUCAAAUCCACAAGGGAAGUCCCCUGAUCAACCCACCAUACCAGUGUGAAUAUCCCUGUCUGGCAGCACAAACGAACACUCUUAAAGGUUUGUCCAAGCUCACUCAGUCGGCAAGAGUCGGAGACCAAACUCAGGCCAUCGAAAGCAAAGGAGCAAGGAGACCGACCAUUAAGAAAAUGAGCAACUGGAGAUAUUGCCAAACACCGUCAAGGGAUGGUGCUGGUAGCCAUACAAGUUUGGGAGAAGCGUGCCUUAAAUGCAGGGGAAAUGGGGAAGGAAUGAUCAUUUACCAAUCAAUCUACCAAUCAAUCUAUUUAGUAAUCAGAAUUCUUGGUCACAAAAAGUAAUAAGAAUUGGCAUUUCCAGAGCACUUUAAAAUGUACAAAGUGCUUCACAAACAUUAUCUCGUUUCAAGCUCACAACCACCCUGGGAGGUAGAUACCCAUGACUAUCCAUUUUUGCAAGGGAGGAUACUGAGGUUCCGAGUAGGUAACUGACCUUCCCAGGGUCCCUCAACCAGAUUAUGUCAGAGGUGGGAUUUGAGUUCUGGCUCCAAUUCCAGCAUUCUGGCCACUACAUCCUUUUCCCUCUACAAUGAAAACCCCAAAGACAUGAAAGCCAAAGGCAGAGAUUGUUACUAGUCCCAGAAUCACCAUCUCCAGUCUUCUGGUUUGCCCAACCUUAUCAUGUGGAUAUUGUUGAAUGAAUGGAUGGAUGGAUGGAUGGAUGGAUGGAUGAAUGAUUGAAUGAAUGAAUGAGUAGCUUUUUGACAUAUUCAGAGUUUUUAAAAAUGACUGCCAUUAACAAGGUAUCUUUGUGCACAUUUCAAGGCAAUUCUCUGGCUUAGACUCAUUCAGGAGGGAAAGGUUUCUCCUGAGAAGCUAAGGGGCGAUGUCUUUUCUAGCUCUAGAGUUCUGUAAGUUUAGGAAGGAAUAGAGAAAAGCCCACCAAGGAAUUGUGUGCACAUAUGGUGAAGUCUCAGCUAAUAUAUUCUUUAGACAUAAAGCAGGUUGGGUAAAGUCAGCAGGAGACUGGAAAUUGGAGGAGUGGAGGAGGUGAAGGAGGAGACAAAGGCCCCUGAGGGAGACAAGCUCAACUCCUGUACUUCUUGAGAGUUGGAGGCUCAUAGAUCAAAGGUCGGCAGGGACCUCAGAGGCCAUCCAGGCUAACCUCAUUCAUUGGACGGAUGAGGAAACUGAGACCACAAAAGGUUAAGUCACUGGCCCAAAGUCACACAUGGGAUCUUGUUAGAGCUGGCAUUUAAAGCCACACGUGCUCACUCAUAGACUCUAACAAGAGUGUCUAGAGGUGAGAAGUAAGGGCUGAGGAGUCCAUGUAUUUUCUAUUUCUAGGGGAGAAGUUUCUGAGGAUAAGGCAUGAUGCUCAUGGAAUGCAACUUUCUUGUAGCUUGAGGAAACCCUUUCACUGAGAGCUCUUUCACCCCCACCUCUCGUUCCAGUUGGCAGUACAGGAAGGAGAGGUGUUCAAAGGACAUUUUGUUUGCCACACAGAGUUUAUCCCUCCAUGUCUCCCCCAAGAUCUUUUCCUCUGCUCUAGGAACCAGCUCACCAGAUGAAUGAUGGAUGAGGUCAGAGAGCAAGUCUGGAUACAGACCUAGAGGAGGAGGCAAGAAUGCAGGUUUCUGGAGGGGACACCACUUCCGGCCACAAAACACUUGGUCUUUCGGUGGGGGCAAGUUUGAGGGAGGAAGGGAGGUUCCUGUGGCCAAGGAAUUAGACGCGCUCUACCUGGCACGGAAGGCCAGAGUAGGAUCAACAGUUGGAAACUCCAGCAAAGCAGAUCUUGGCUCAGGAUAAAGAAAAACCUCAGAACAAAUAGAGCCCUUUGGAGGCACAAUUGGCUCUCUCGAGAUGUAGUGAGCUUCCCAUCCCUGGGGGGGCUUUAAACAGAGAGUAGAUGACCGACCACUUUUCAAGUGUUACAGCUCAGACUUGGACUAAACAGCUUCUGAGGUCUCUAUGCCCAGACACAUCUACAUCACUUCCAGACUCUCCAGGACAGAACUUGGGGAGAGCUGAGACUGUGAGACUCCCUUCGCUCCUAUAACCCAGUUUCCCAAGGAAUGUUCAGCUUCCUAUGUGCUCUCUGAAGGAGAUGACACCGUCACACCAAUCUUAGGCACAAUUUGUCUGUUCUUUCCAUUCUGAAUCUGUCCUACUGCCUAAAACUCUCAAAUGGUCCCUUCCUGGAUCAUAUGAAAUAAUCCAGCAUCCAAGAACUUGUCUACAGAUGGAAAAUACCUCUGAGACCAACUACCCAAACAGCCUUCUUUUUGUGCCAUAAAUGAUGGGAGAGGAAGAGUCCCCCUCCCCUUGCCAAACUGCCAGCACUCUACCAAAGAAUUAGACAAACCCAAUCUCCUGGGGCUCCAUAGGUUACAAGGAUCAAACAGUCUUCAGAGAGACAACCCAAGAUUACCAAGUUACCCCCACUUAGUCCUUCUUCCCUUCUGGUUGCCAGAAACCAUCUCCCCUCCCCAACUCCUAGAGUCCUUCCAAUUUCAACAUCAGCUCCCACUUUCUUUCUCUGUUCUCUUCAAGUCUGGACUGUGAUUCGCCAGGUGACCUGAACCCUCGCUUACUGCUCGACACGGUUGGCCCUAGAACUCCAAGCUGAAAAGUCCAUCUCCAAUCCCAGUCCCACCCCGGGGGGAAGCCCACCUAAAUGAGAGGUUUGCCUUUGCAGAAGAAGGCUGGAGUUUAGGAAACAAUGCAAUGAGCAAAGUUCACUUCUCCCACCUCAUAAAACUCAGGUCCCAGAAACUCCUUCAAGGCUUGUUGCCUAUGAAUCAAUCAGUCAAUCAUCAAACAUUUAUGAAGUUUCCACUAAUUGGAAUACAGAAACAAACAAAAACAUGAAACCAUUCUCUAGUUGCAAGGGAGCUUGCAGUCUGAGGGAGACAACACACACACACAUACACACACACACACAUAUGUACAUAUAUAUAUAAGUAUAUACAGAAUAAAUAUGAAUAAAUACAAAGUGUUACAUAUAAGAUAAUCUGGGUAGGAGGGUUCUAGAAUGGGGGGAAGAUCAUGGGGUGGGGUGCCUAUGUUGCUAUGGAGACAAGAGACUUAAACAGAUUGUUGUCCCAGAAUUCAACUGAACUUGGGCUUCUGCCUUUGUUAGGGGGGUAUUUUUGGAAGGAAAAUCAGCAGGGAGGGUUGAUCCCAUUUGUCCAUCCACUCGGGCAUCAGCUCUUGGAAUGAGCUUCUAGCCCUGAGUCCUAUUGGCAAGAAGCCAACCUCAAAACUCCCUUGUGGUUGACUCAAAGCAGGCAGGGAGUUUUUGCACAUGCUCAGCACAAUCCACAUUACACUUAUGUAUAAAAAGGGAAAAAAGGGAAAGGAAAAAGCUCAUUAUUUUCUAUAUCCUAUAUGACUGCCCCAGCCAAACAGCAGCCUCAGUAGUCUGAGUUGCUUUUAUUUUUCUUAUAUUAUCAUUAUAUACAAUGGACCAAAGAGUAAUAUCUAUUUUAAAGCGGCCACGGUCUGAUUAUUAAAACUCACUACAUCACCAUCUUUUACAAGGAGGUAGGAGCUGCCAGGAAGGAGAUAGUGACAAUGUUUGUUUUCUUCCUCAUUUAAUAUUAAUAUCUAAGUAGUCAGGUUUAGACACAUGUUGGCCAUUUACUUAAAAAUAAAUACAAUUUACUCUUUGGGGGGGGGGGAUUCCUCUUCCCUUAUGUUGAAAGUAUUUUUUUUCAUUUUUUUAAAAAAUGUAUUGACUUUUUACAAUGCAGGAUGUUACAAGAUAUGGUGGUGAGGGUUCGAGAGCUAGAAUCCAAGGCCCUGCCUCUAGUCCUGGCUCUGCCAGUCAUCAUCUGUCUGACUUCAAGGCAGGUCACUUAAUUUCUCCAGGGGCCAAUUUUUCUCAUUGAUCAAAUGAGGGGAAUGAAUGAGAUGAGCUCUAAGGUCCCUACCAGCUCUAAAUCUUUGAUUUUCUCCUGUAAUAAAAUGUGUAAACACCCAUUAGCCAUGUGACCAAGGGCAAGUGAUCCUUGCCACUCAAAGCACAUAAAUUCCGGGUAAGCUGCUAAUUAAUUGCAAACAAAAUAGUGCUUAGAGUUUCCAUGCUUGGGAUUUCUCUAUCUGAACUCACAGGUUAGAAUCAAAUAAAAGAAUAACAGAUGGAGCCCAAAAGGAUGAAAUAUAAUCAAUGUAUCUAUGCAGUUUCCUUUCCUAUACGACUCUCUUCCUCUGUACAAAGCUCUUUUCUGUAUGAGAAGAUGGUCCAAUGAAAGAGAUUAUGUCAAGGACAAAAACCAUAGCAUUUUAGAGCUAAAUGAGACCCAACUCAUGUCAUCUUCUAGAUGGAAAACAAAUGAAACCCCAGAGGUUAAAUGACCUGCCAUCACACUACCUGCUACCUAAGAGCAGGACCAGGAUGAGGACUGGAGCUCCUACCUCUCACUCCAUUCGUGUUAUGACUAACCCACCCUGACUACAGGAGGCUUAUUUGUAAUGGACAUGCACAAUGGAGAAGGAAAGAACUAGAGAAGAUUACCUUUCCCAUAAUGCCCUGGUCCCAAGGCAUAGGCACUGAUUGGAGAAAAGCAGAGAUUACUAGGGACAAGAAAGAGGAGAGGAUGAGCAGAUGGAGGAAGAGGAGAAGGAGAAAGAGAAAGAGGAAUGGGAAUAGUAAAAGGAGUUAAGAAGCAUCCACGAUUAUGGCAGCAAGCAGAAGCAGUGGCAGAAGCAGCAGCAAAAGCAGCAGCAGAAGCAGAAGCAGAAGCAAUAGCAGAAGCAGAGGCAGAAGCAGAGGCAGAAGCAGAGGCAGAAGCAGAAGCAGAGGCAGAAGCAGAGGCAGAAGCAGUGGCAGAAGCAGCAGCAGCAGAAGCAAGCAGGGUGCAAGUUCAGACAGAUGUGGGCACACAGAAGUCAAUGCAAGGGAUGGGGACUACAAGGGAAGCGAGGGGAGAGACAGGACUCUGAUGCUAAGUUAUUCAUCGGGAUUCUCUCACUCCACUCAUGUGGUUGAGACUUUCCCAAUUGUGCCCAGUGGUUGUUUCUGCAGAUUUAAGAGGAAGGGAGACUAUUAGCUCCAUUAAUUUCCUCCUGGAUUUGGAGAUAAGUUGUCUUUAUCCCCUGAUAUGCUUAUAACAAAUCUGCUUUAUGUUAUAAAUGGCUUGAGGCAUAGUGGAUAGAUAGAGCACCAGCCUUGGAAUCAAAUCGGGAUUCAAUCCCCGCAUCCAUCACAUAAUCAUGAUGUGACCUUGAACAGAUGUGUUAACCUUUCAGUGACCCCAAGCAAGUUUCUAAGACUGGAAGUUAUAGGACAGGGACCAGUGGACAUUGGUACAGGGAGUUUCCUCAUCAGGAAUUCUAUAUACCAAUGAAUUCAUAGAUCUGGUCCCAAAAGUUCAAAAUGCCUAAGUUGCCUAGUGAUAAGCUGACUUGAGUACUCCUAUGGGGAGAGCAAUAUAUAAGCUAAAUUUAAACGUUUAGAGGAAAGCAUCAAGAGAGCAGCAAUCUGAUUGCAAGAACGAGCAAGGACAAGAUAGCAAAGGAAAAUGAAUAUAAAGAAGAGUCCAAGAGAGUGAGAAAGAGAAAGUCUCUCUGGGUGGGGCAAAACAGGAAUCAUCUAACUGUUAUGUUUCAUUACCUUCUUUGCAUCCCCAGGACUUAAGACAAUGCUUGGCCCAUAAAAAGUGCUCAGUAAAUUCUAGUUGAUUAGUUACUAAAGAUCGGGUCCCCAAUGUCAAUGUGGUUACUCAAAGCUUUGAUGUGGAAUACUUGCCUUAUAACAUUUUGUGAGACUUUCAAUUCUUAGGGAACUGGGGGCUAGAAAACUUCCUAGGAAAUUUGGUUAGUACCAGGAUCUGUUUAAUAUAUCUGUGGUGGUUGCUUAGAGGCAUAGAUCACCUUCCCUAUUAUGUAAAACUGUGUUUGAAGCAGGUGCUUAAGGAUCUAGACAUGUUUGAGCCGAGAGAACAUUACACAGUUCUAGACUGAGGGGAGUGACCACUAUGACUGUUGAGUUAUAAAAGGAAUACACUGAUUGAUAUCUGGGGAUUAGAGCACCAUUGAAGGUACUUUUUCCUAGUGGUCUGGCCUUCUCUUUGUGAAUCUGUGUGGGUGUGGGUGUGUUUCAUAAAGGGGAAUCUAUUCAGAAAAAAAAUGUGUAAACUGUCUGAAACCAUGAGACUUUCUCAGGUCAACAAAGAAAUAUACAGCAAGGAAAAUCGCUGAACAUUGCUACUAAGCCCUCCACUUUUGACCAGAAGUUGCUGAGCAAGCUAAGGUCCACACAGAAAAAGCAGAAUGGACUAACCAGUGAACCAGCACCAACAGAGGCAUGGGUUUAGCCUCUCAAUCAAGCCCUACAACCAUUGGAGUCCCAUAAGGUUCAACUAUGGGGACCUUUGGGAGGUGGGAAGAAAAGAUACAUUUUUAUCAGGCAGGGUGGUCUUUGAUACCUGGCUAGAAUAUACCACAGAUAGAAUGAAGGAAUCCCAGGGGACUGCAAGCCAACUCAUAAGCCCUUGUCAUGAGGUAACAGUUUACAUUUGUGUUCGUUGGAUAGCCAAUAUGGCAGCACUGAGGGCAUAGAUGAUAACAACAUGGAAUUCUUCUCUCUCUCCCAAGAGUAAGUAGAAGCUCUCUGGUUUUGUCCUAAGGAGAGAUUAUUACAGAGUGGUGAUCAAAUGAUGGGUGGCUGCAGGGGGCUGAGAUCAUAGAAAACUGACCCUAGUGACCAAGAGGCUAGAGGUGAAGGUUGUAUUUGUACCUAUGGUUACACAGGUCUAUACCUCUAUGGCCUCUCCCAGGAUUAGGACAUUAUAGAUGAAAUGAGGAGGAUUAUUUACAUAGGAAUCAUGUCUGUCGCUUUGGAGCUAGCCAGGAGCUUCAUGAAUGUGAGGGAGAAAGUGAACAUUAUGAGUUCAAUAUUCUAGACUUAGAGAAUAUACCUGAAAUUUCAGUGUUGAUUUGGUGCAAUCUCAAACUCUAUUCAAAGUAUUGAUUGCACACUGUCGGGUUGGGACCAGAACGCUCUUUGUAGGCAGGUUAUUCCUCUUGUGCUGAAGGUAACAAAAGAAAGGCCUGUGCUGAUCAAAAGCAUUGAGUGUGCCGUGACCCCACAGUCUGGGACAGAUCUAAAGAAGCCCAAAUCCUUAGGUUUAGGAGACACUGCGAAGAAACAAAAGGGAUUUCUGGGAAAGAAAUUCAGGGUAAGGGUACUAGGAGUUUUCUCCACCUGGAGAACAGGAUGAGCCUAAGGAACAAAGUGAGCAAUUCACCUCAACAACUGCCAACCUUUGCCAAACUAGUCUCAGGGAACUAAAGCUGUAGGACCUUGGGAACUCCAUUAAGGAGCUAUUAGUCCAAGGAAUCAUAUUAAGUUUUAAACUACCCAUGUCUUGCCCAUAGUGUCCAAAGGGAGUGCAGAAGAGAACUGGAAAGAUUCAGAUGUACGCAAAUUAUUGAAACUUAGAUAAGAGAACUAAGAUCCAUUUCCAGAACUUCAUUCAUCCAUCCAUCCAUCCAUCCAUUCAUUAAGAAUCUAUUAUGUGCUAGAGACACCAAAACAAACCUAAAUAGUUCCUGUCUUCAAGAAGUUCACAUUCUACAGGGGAAGGACAUACAACCAAUGAGUGAACAAACAUUUAUGAAGUGCCUACGAUAUGCCGAGCCUAAUGCUAGGCACUGGAGAGGCAAAAUUGGAAGACUCUCUGAUUUGUGCUGGUUGGAUUCCCAUGGAGAGGAAGAUACGCAAAAGAAAGUUUGUGUCUUUGGGUAAACAUAGCUCUCCAGGGACGUCUGGGGCUCCUGCUACUUUGAGUAGAUCGGGGGAAAAGUCGCUGGUGGAAUUCCAGCAAAAUGGCCGUGUGAGAGAGUGUGUCUGAUUCCAGCUCCCCCUAAUCUUCUCAAAACAGUAAGAAGCACACCAAACAAAGUAACACCCCAAAGGGGCAAAUCAAAAUAAUAUGCAUAAGACCAUCACUACAGACUAACAAGAAAAGGAUGUCUUCCCAUACUGCCCUGUACUAAGGUUGACCACACAUUGCCCUGGGCACUGCAUACAAUAUGGUAGAACCCAUCACGUCUGAAGAAACAGGAGGCGUCCGAUUCUGUCAGAAAGGGAAAGCAGCUUACCAUCUCCGGCUAUCACCAAUCUAUCCACUAUCAACCAUUGCCUCCUGCAUUCUUGCUUUCAUUUAUACUUCCAUGUCAGAAUGGAGAUCCAGAGUUGAUUCAGGCCCAGGGAUGUAGGCAAGGACAGCAAGUCCCAUGGGACGAAAGAUGAUGAACCAUGGACCAUUAAAACGGUUAAUUUCCAACAAAAAUGGCGGUGCACAAGGUCACAGUUAAGUCAAAAUUCCCCUACAAAACUUACUGACAAAGAUGAAAAAGAGUAGCUGUUGAAGCAAUGAUGGAUAAAACCAAAAAGAAACACCAGAAAGCUCUUCUAGCCAAUCCAAGAUUGCACACAAAGCCGGCCAGAAGCCUGUUCAGGCUCUACAUGAGGGGAGGCCUAGUGGGGCCUGGAGCCAGGGGGAUUUGGAACCCAGCCUGUAGAAGGCACAGUAGGAGGCAAACUCAUAAGAGCACUCCUGGUAAGGGACUGCCCCAGUAGGUGAAAAGGGGCAGAGGUGCCUAGGCAUCUGGCAUCUGGAGACCCUCCUGGAGGCCUGGCAUUAGGGCAAUCUCCAACAUUCAGUAGCCAUACCUUAGGAUCAAUUGUAAAUAAAGAUGAUACCUAACAGGGAAAGAGAGCUUUUAAGGUUUGAAAAAGCAUAUUACAUAUAUUCUCUUAUUUGAUUCUCACAAACUACCCUAGGAGAUAGGUGACAUUGCUAUCCCCAUUAUACAGAUGAGAAAACUAAGGUUGAAAAACUAGUGUCUGGGGGAAGAUCUGAAUCCAAUCAUUUUAAUCUAAGUCCAGCAUGCUAUCUAUUACACCACCAAACUGCCUCAAGGGGCCCUCUUGACUGUCUUGAAAGCAGUGCAAGCUCCAAUAUUUAGUGACCAUAAAAUGGAAUCAAAAAAAAAAAAGAGGCAAAGCAGAGGGUCCAGGGGGUUAUUUGAGUAGCAUGAAGCCAGUGUGGUCUUUCCAGAUCAGUCAGGGCCACAGCAUGGGACAAAGCAAACUCUACACUGGUAACAGGGCUGAGGCCAGAAUCCAUGUUAGGGUACUUGGAGAUAGAUUAAGAGAAGCCCAAGAUGCAGCCUCUCAAGAUGGACUACCCAAAAAGGUAAUUUGAGUCUCAGGAAAAAAUUGACUUGGGUCCCAUAGACUAAGAAGAUUUGGAAAAAAAAAAAUAAGAAAAGCAACCUGAGACUGCUGCAACUUCCAAAAAUUUUGUAAUAUUAGAUGCCAAAAGAUUAAAGAAGUUUAACCAUCAAAAAGGCUGAGUGAGAACUUUGAUAUGCACUCAUCUCUCAGUCAAUUCAUCAAAACAUCAAGAAAUGGGCCAAAUAAUUAUUUUGAAAAGACUAAAAGGGGAAAAAAAGUAAGAAAUUAUUACAAGGAAGCAUCCUUGGUUCAAGGUUAGGGAGGGAAGAUCAGCAUGGAAAUUAAGGAAACGAGCAAAUAAAAGUAGCUAAUACAAUAAAGAAAUAGCAUAGGGGGGAAAUAACUAUAAAAUGAAAGAAACUGCAAAUGAAGGAAAUAAUUUUGUGGUAACUACAACCAGAAUUCCCUCUGUACUCCCCUCUGCAUCCCUUCCUCAAAAAGCAUGGAAUGACCAUGAGAAUCUAAGAGAGAGUUGAAUGACUUAACAAAAUAAAGGAAAAGAAAACUAAGGAGUGAAAUUAAAGUUCUUGAUGAAAAACCAAGGAGAAUUGGAUGGCUUGGGGCAGAGGCUAAAAAUCCUUAACAACAAACUUGUGAUUUUGAGGAGCUACAAUUUUUUUUUACAAAGUGGGAAGUAGGGAGAAGGUCUUGAAGAUGGAAAUGUCAUUAUCAUGAGCUUAAUUUCUCCCAGAGAUUAGAAGCAAAAGAAUAUUGCUUAUAAGAAGAAAUACCUACAUUAUAUCUCCCAGAAAGCUGUGUGUGAUCCUGCAGUGUGAUGGUAUCACUUAACUCAGACUUGGAGUGAAUACAGAGGCUCUGUAGCCUGGGACAUCACAAUCUCUUCUGAGACUGACUGAGGCAUCAGAAACACAGGCAAAAGAGGAAAUGGAAAUAAGGGCGAGGGUGGAGGGUCGGACUAAGGGUGCCUUAAACUCUUAAAUUCAAAUGAUAACUGUGAGAAUUGCAGCAAGAAGUGUUCACCCAUCAUCACCAAGGAGACAGAGCUCUAUAGUUCUAAGGUGUUUGGGGGUUUUGUUCAUUUGUUUUUAUUUUCAGGCUAUUGGGGUGAAAUGAUUUGCCCAGGUUCAAACAGUUAGUACAAGUCUGAGAUCUGAUUUGAACUCAGGUCCCCGAGACACCAGAGUCAAUUCUCUGUCUCCACCUAGCUGCCCUUAAUGUGUUUGUUUCAUUUUUUUUCUUUGUACCUUCUUUGCCUAGCACAAAGUAGAUAAUAAACAGAUGUUUAAUGGAUUUAAUUUAUAUGCUGAAAUUGAAGGGGAAAUACCGUAGUUCCCUGGGAUUUCCACAGACAAAAGCAGUUGAGGGAGGUGAGGAGGGAAUAAUCCUAAACCCUUAAACACUAUUGGGAUAUCAUUGGGACAGAUGAAAAAUACCAAAAGAAUUUCAAGGACAUUAUCAGCUGCCUCAUGAAUGCACUGCCAGUGUUGGCUUUUGCAGAUUCAAGCAAAAUCUUUGUGAUUCACGCUGAUAUCAGUUAUUAAUUAUACACUAGCAGAGUGAAAGUCACUAGAAUCCUAUUGCAUUUUCCAAUCAGGGAUUCCUAGAUAGCAAGGCUUAUAUUACCAUAUCCAAAAAUUGGAGCUCUUGGCUUUGAAGAGAGAAGCUACAAGAGUGUGUAGAUUUCAGUGUUUGAACAGAUGGAUUCAAGUACUAAGUUAGAUGCUGCCUAUCAGAGCUACAGCAGAAGAUACAAAACUUUAUCCAGGUAGUGAACAGAAUGGAGCAAACAAAACACAAUGACUUCAGAAAACAACAAGAAAUAUCAAAAUAAAGUGAAAAGAUUUUAAAAGCAGAAGAAAAUAUAAAGCAUCUACCUUAGAAGGCAACUAAAAAUAAGUCCAGAAUAAAUUAAGAACCAUUGGAUUCACUGAAAACUAUGUCCAAACAAAAAUCCUAGGUAUCAUAUUUCAAGAAAUCACAAAACUGCCUAGAUCUAUUAGAUCCUUCGGGGAAAGUAACAAUUUAAAGAUCCACCAGUCAUGAAAGAAACCCUCAAUUAAAAACAGGCAGAAUGGCAUAACCAAAAUCCAGAACAUACAGGUCAGUGAAAAAACUACUGCCUGAAACUAAAAGAAAGAGUUCAAGUAUCAAAGAAUCAUAGUCAGGGUCAUACAAGACUAUGGCAUAAUUUUUUAUAAAGGAGAGAAGAUUUUGAAAUAUGAUAUUCUAAAGGCAAAAGAUAAAGGCUUGCAACCAAGAAUAAUUUAUUUUGCAAGGCAAUAUAAUCCUAAAGGGGAAGGGAAAUGGACCUUUUAAUGGGGAAAAAAAAAGAUAAGUAGAAGCCUGGAACAUAAACACAACAGCCUAGAGGAGCCUAGAAAGAUAAAAACAUUCAAGUAAUUGGAAGGUACUAAAUGCUGCUGAAGUGCUUAUAUUCUAAUAGGGGGGAGAAGAAUCGUAUCCUUUUAGAAACACAACAUUUUUAAAUGUUACAGGAGUUAAGAAAGACAGACAACGUUUGAAGUGGUUUCAUUCUUUUGUUUGUUUUAAAUCAAAAAAUAAAAGAAGGGGGAAAGGAAUAAUUCAGGAAAAAAUGAACAGAAAUUUACCUUUUCUCAUUAAAGAAGAAGGGUAUAUACAUCCUUGCAUACAAAUAGAAAAUUUAGAGCACAAAGCAAUAAAAACAGUGGGAAAAAGGGAUGUAGAAGGAACAUGAAGAGGGCAGAUAAAGAUGGAAAUGAAAAACAUAUUUCAGCUUUUUAAUGUUAUUCAUAAAUGGGGAAUUGAAAGUAAAUCAUAAAAAUCAGUAAUAGUCUAGUUGAGGAGAAGAAAGGACAGGAAAUAAGAGCUGACCACUAGUUCCUAAUGUUAAUCGAUCAUAUUCCUUCUCUUUCUUCAACUUCUUUUUUUGUAAAGAAGUUCUAAAAAUAAAAAAUGAAGAGUUUGGACCCCAGGGACUCAAAUUACAAACCCCAAAAGACAAUCUAGUAUUGAGAGAGUGGCAUAAGUUGGAAUUAAAAAAUAGAGCACUGUAGUCAACAAUUAGCGAUCCAUCACCACAAAGAAAGCAGUUGUUGCUAACUGUGGCUAUGAAAACUCUCGAUAAUGGUUUUGGACACGUGGACCAAAAGAGAACUUUGGGGUUGGUACAAAUUUGAUUCUAUUGGCCCAAGAAUGGAGGGAGAUGCGUGUAGGGUGUAUUUUUUAAAAUGUGCUCUAUGUGUUCAUGAAUGAAUCUUUCUUUUACUGCUUAUCUGGAAAAUCUAAGAACUAGCCAGUCUUUGGAGCUUGUGCGUAUAGACAUUUUAUCUUUGAAAAGAGGUAGGUAGAACAAGAACAACAUUCUGGUGGCAGAUCAUCUUAGUCCCUGUACACUGAAACCAGAAAUCUUCUCCAUUUCCCAACGUGGUGUAGGAAAGUAUUCUCGGGGUAUAGUUUCCCUGCCAGGAUCCUUUCUGAAAAGUCAAGUCUUUGAAAAUAAGUCCAUUAAGGAGGUGGAUCAGUUAACUGAGGCAAAUGCAUAGCAAUGGCCUUAGCUGAGAAAUUCUCAAAGGGGAACAAGUAAGAAUCUGACACGAGUUCAAUCUCAGUAAAUCUGGGAAGAAGCUAGCAUCCUGCUAAGGAAUCUUGCUGUCCAGAGAAAAUAUAAGAUAGUAAGAAGUAGACUGGCCAAGAGCCACCCUUUCCAAAUGCUAGUAAAUAUACUCUCAACAAAAUAGUUCCAUAGCACAGAGAGAACCUUGUAAUAAUGAUACACCACAAUUACCAUUGCUCACAUGGGAGCCAGCCUGAUUAUCUGGAGGACAAGAACAAUGCAGGGACUACCAAGGACCUUUGAGACAGGCCUAUCCAGCAGUUGCAGAUCAACACUCAAAGCCAGAUGAUAACACAUAGGGAGAGAACCCUUGGGGCCAAUUUAAAAAGAAACUGCAUGGUAGUAACCUCUUGAGAGUUUGGGAAGCCUCCCAAAAUCAAAGCUUACCAAGAUCAAGGGGAAACUCUGCCUAGCCAAGGAGGAAGGCCUGAAUCCUGGGGCUGCCCUUUUCCUGCCCAAUUUUCCCCCGGAGGAGGCCUCAAGAAGUUAUGUAUUGGGCUCUACAGCCUAAAUCAUCCAGGAGGUCAAAACUGAGACAGUAGGACGUCUUAGAAUAAGGGUGCUGAUUAGAUGGCAGCAUGUGCUUGGACACACACACACACAAACACACACACACACACACACACACACACACACUCUCUUAAGAGGAAAAGUAAGCUUUUCUUAAGAGAUUCACAGUUUCAUGUACAAUUCUCUUUCUCUGUUCUACUUGGUAUGUAUAAAGAUUAUAAUAGAAAAGAUUUUUUUAAAGGAAGCAGGUCCCCAGAGUAGAAUCAAGACUCUAAGGUCGGGGUUUAGUAUGACUUAGGAUGCUACAGGAGAAAGAAGAAAGCUAACAUCCAGCGAUGAAGCGCGUGUAAUAGUAUAGCUACAUAUUUGGGUACGCCGUGACCCUUUGUAACACGUACAAUAGCAAUUUCUCUGUGUGCCUGGUGUAUGGUAGGAGACUAAUGUAGGUGCCAUAUAUGGUAAGCCUAUAUACAUUUCAGAUGAUCUCCAGAAAAACACUAUAUACUAACUGAUGCACAUCAAUGAGGUGUGUAAGAAGUUUUGCACGUGACUGGCAGGCACUACAGAUUUGUUUUUUUCUUUAACUGUACAGAAUAUAUUUGUAGACUGCAGGUCCCACAAUGCUUGGGAGCUUCAAUCAUUGGAUUAUAUUUCCCAGAAGGCUGUGUGUGAGACUGCAGCAUGGAGAUAUUGCCCAACACAAAUUCUAACAAUGAAAGGUUAAAAAAGCUUUAUGACUUUUGCAUGAAAGGCUUAAGCAGGCAGCGAUAGAAACAGAAGCAGGAGAAAGAGCAGCUGCAUAGAGAGAAAGGAAGCAAAGGGAGCAGGGCUGGGCUAGUCACAACCCAAGAAUCCAUCAGGGCCUUGAGGAUGUUUUCAACAAUUCUGACAAAAGACUUCAGUUGGCAUCUGGCCAAGAGAAGUCAGUCAGUACUCUCUAGCCCUGAUGGCUUUGAGACUGAAGGGGGAGCUAAUUAAGCAAAGCAUUCUGGGACCCAAAGUUUCAACACCAGUGUUGUGAGUUUAUCUGUGUUCCUCUCCCAUUACAUUGGAUAUACAAAGGAAUUAAACAUGGCGAUGACCAGAGUACUCCUGGAGACAUGGGAAAUGGCAGUCAUUUAUGUAAGCUAUGCAGUUGCUUUGCAGCCUAUAUGAUUGAUCUAUCGUAUACAACUCUAAGAGACGAUGUCAUGUUGUAUAUACCUACCCUUGAUCUCUGUAUUUUGUUGAGAGUCUGAAUCUUUACCAUGGGAUGUUGGUCCGCAUGUAUCCUCAUGUAACCUGGGAAUCUCUUUUACUAUGUGUAAUAAAACAGAUUGUAGAAUAACUGUCUGGAGCAUAUAAACGUUUUUAUGCACCAGAUAAAACGCGGGGAUUGUAAAGUUUUUAACGGGGAUACAAUUUAACAGACACAUGAAACAGAGGAGAGGACUGAGAAAACACUCACUUUCCCAUGUUGCCAUGGGCUCAAGGUGGAAGUGCUGAUUAGAAAAGAGCAGAUUGCCGAGUACCAGAAGAAAGGAGGUGCAGAGAGAAGCAGCAGCAGCAUCCAAGCUUAUGGUAGCUAGCAGAAGCUGUAGCGGCGGCAGAAGCUGUAGCGGCAGCAGAAGCAGUGGCGGAGGCAGAAGCUGUGGCGGUAGCAGAAGCAGUGGCGACGGCAGAAGCAGUAGCGGCGGCAGCAACGGCGGCAGGAGCGGCAGUAGCGGCGGCAGCAAUAGUAGCAGUAGCUGCAGUAGUAGCGGCGGCAGAGGCGGCAGCAGAAGCGGCAGCAGUAGCGGCGGCGGCAGCACCGACUAUAGCAGUAGCAUCAGGAGCAGGACUAAAGCUGAGACAGAUGCAGAAUUAGCAGACAGAAGCCGGAGCAAGCAAACGGAAGCUGCGUGGGAAUCCGGACAAGAGAUGGGACGUCUUCAUUGAAGUUCUACAGUUCCAUUCACACGAUUGAGACUUUCCCUAAUUAGUGUUAUGAGUUUACGUGUGGGUUCGGCUGACCCCUUUAGGAAGGAAGGAGAGUGGCCUUAUUACCUGGCUACUAGAUGCAGAGGGGACUUCCUUUUAUGUCCUUUUCUGCUUGCCAGAAGGACAUUUUCUAUCCAAAAUGCUUCUUAGUAGCUUUGGUUGCCCACAUGUGAGCUUACUCAGUACCACUAGGGGAAAGCCAGGAAUAUACAAAAUUCGGAUAUGCACAGGAAGAAAGAGACAGAAAGACAGACACCAUUCGAGGAGUAAAGGCAAAACACAAGACAUAGCAAAGUUAUCAGAGAGAAGUUUCCCAAAAGCAUACUUGUUUUGAAAUAUAAGCCCUCCUGAGCACUCAGGUUGCCACUGGUAUCUAAAGGAACAUGAGUUAUACAGAACAUGUACGGAUAUUCCUCACCUGCCACUGUCUAACCAUGUAAGGAAUGGCAGCAGGGUCACCAUUACAUUGAACCCUCAAUAAUCACGUCAUAGUCACUCCUGCUGAGUCUCCACCAAAAAAGGAAGAGACAGAGAGGGGGAUCCCUUUUGUAUAUCCACUGUGCCAGCAGUUCCUCCGUCUGAGCAACCCAUUAGAGCCCUUUGUCAUCUCAAAUUUCAAGCCCUUUACACACACACC
This 18608-nucleotide long non-coding RNA is filed under the name Sarcophilus harrisii (Tasmanian devil). Its description in RNAcentral is "lncRNA (ENSSHAG00000029276.1)". The record is from RNAcentral. Lineage: Eukaryota; Metazoa; Chordata; Mammalia; Dasyuromorphia; Dasyuridae.